CUAGUCGUGCGCUUCAGCCAAAACGAGGCGCGGCAUACAGCUCAGUAACACGUGGCUAAUCUGCCCUUGGGACGAGAACAACCCCGGGAAACUGGGGCUAAUUCUCGAUAGGUGAAGAACUCUGGAAUGAGUCUUCGCUUAAAGAGCUUCACGUUAUGCUCGUGAAGUCGCCCAAGGAUGAGGCCGCGACCGAUCAGGUUGUUGGUGAGGUAAUGGCUCACCAAGCCUUUUACCGGUGCGGGCCGUGAGAGCGGGAGCCCGGAGAUGGGCACUGAGACAAGGGCCCAGGCCCUACGGGGCGCAGCAGUCGCGAAAACUUUGCAAUACACGAAAGUGUGACAGGGCUAUCCCGAGUGCCAUCCGCUGAGGAAGGCUUUUACCCAGUAUAGAUCGCUGGGGGAAUAAGGAGAGGGCAAGUCUGGUGUCAGCCGCCGCGGUAAUACCAGCUCUCCGAGUGGUGUGGAUGUUUAUUGGGCCUAAAGCAUCCGUAGCUGGCUAAGUUAGUCCCUUGUUAAAUCCACCGAAUUAAUCGUUGGAUUGCGGGGGAUACUGCUUGGCUAGGGGACGAGAGAGGCAGACGGUAUU
RNAcentral lists this ribosomal RNA (585 nucleotides) under uncultured archaeon. Its description in RNAcentral is "bacterial SSU rRNA". It matches the Rfam family "Archaeal small subunit ribosomal RNA", at positions 54 to 619 of the family's 1478-position model. The record is from RNAcentral.